Paramuricea clavata is the source of this 95-nucleotide non-coding RNA. NCBI's taxonomy places the organism in Eukaryota, Metazoa, Cnidaria, Anthozoa, Malacalcyonacea, Plexauridae. The record is from the annotation of a GenBank genome assembly.
UGCUGUGUUGAGUGGUUAUAUUACUACCUUAAAAAAUAAUAAACAGAAACUCAAGGUAGUAAUAUAACCACUCAGCACGGCAUAUUUCAACAGUG